This is a non-coding RNA of Angiostrongylus cantonensis (rat lungworm), 74 nucleotides long. The record is from Rfam. NCBI's taxonomy places the organism in Eukaryota, Metazoa, Nematoda, Chromadorea, Rhabditida, Metastrongylidae.
GGGCUUGUGGCCUAAUGGAUAAGGCGUCAGACUUGGGACCCGAAGAUUGCAGGUCCGAGUCCUGCCAGAGUCCA